This 139-nucleotide non-coding RNA is filed under the name uncultured Lawsonibacter sp. RNAcentral describes it as "glmS glucosamine-6-phosphate activated ribozyme". It matches the Rfam family "glmS glucosamine-6-phosphate activated ribozyme aptamer", at positions 10 to 158 of the family's 167-position model. From Rfam's summary of the family: This entry contains a glucosamine-6-phosphate activated ribozyme that is found in the mRNA for GlmS. Lineage: Bacteria; Bacillati; Bacillota; Clostridia; Eubacteriales; Oscillospiraceae. The record is from RNAcentral.
ACAGCGCCAGCGCCCGGCUUGGCCGGGACGACGAGGUGAGGGGAGUAUCGAACUUUCGGCGGAUGCCCCUCCGCGCCCCUUCGGGCGUGUCACUCAGACCGUAAAAUAUGCGGGCGACCGCAAAACAAAGCGGCUGAGA